UCGCCCACAAUCUCUUCAAACGGUUUCAACACGGAUGUGUUGGGUGCGGUGUGUAAGGAAAGACCACGCGCCUGAUAGUCGGCAAUCGCCGAAACCCUCGACUGGGACAUCUUUGCUGGGGUCGUUCUUCGGUACACAAGCGGUAUCGAAAUCGUUCCCACCUUUGGUCUCCUCGCGCUAACCCCGUAGCGUGUGGUUUUUAGCGGGCUCCAGGCCCGCUUUUUUUU
RNAcentral lists this non-coding RNA (227 nucleotides) under Caballeronia telluris. Its description in RNAcentral is "Burkholderia sp. LMG 22936 Burkholderia sRNA Bp1_Cand871_SIPHT". It matches the Rfam family "Burkholderia sRNA Bp1_Cand871_SIPHT". Lineage: Bacteria; Pseudomonadati; Pseudomonadota; Betaproteobacteria; Burkholderiales; Burkholderiaceae. The record is from Rfam by way of RNAcentral.